UCUCCGUAGGUGAACCUGCGGAGGGAUCAUUACUGAGUGAGAGCCUCCGCGGCCCGACCUCCAACCCCUUUGUGAACACAACUUGUUGCUUCGGGUGCGCCCCUGCCGUUUCGACGGCGAGCGCCCCCGGAGGCCUUCAAACACUGCAUCUUUGCGUCGGAGUUUAAGUAAAUUUAAACAAAACUUUCAACAACGGAUCUCUUGGUUCUGGCAUCGAUGAAGAACGCAGC
Molecule: unclassified non-coding RNA, 230 nt
Filed under: uncultured fungus
Lineage: Eukaryota; Fungi
Description: sequence contains ITS1, 5.8S rRNA gene
Rfam family: 5.8S ribosomal RNA (bases 182-230)
Source: RNAcentral